Molecule: long non-coding RNA, 1475 nt
Organism: Cyprinus carpio carpio
Lineage: Eukaryota; Metazoa; Chordata; Actinopteri; Cypriniformes; Cyprinidae
Source: Ensembl
AACAACUUACUUUUAUUUAGCAAUAACACUGAUCAAAAGUGACAGCAGAGUCAUUUAUAAUGUUACAAAGAAAAUCUGUGUGAAAUAAAUCCUCCUUAUUUGAACUUUCUGAAGAUACCUGAAAAAAAAAAUGUUAAAAUAUAUUGUUUUCCACAAAAUUAUUAAGCAGCACAUCUGUUGUCAACAUUAAUAAAAAGAAGAAAUGUUUCUUGAACAGCAAAUCAACAUAUUAGAAUUGUUUCUAAAGGAUCAUGUGACACUGAAGACUGGAGAAAUGGCUGCUGAACAUUCUUCUGUGCUAUCACAGGAAUAAAAAAAAAAAAUAAAUAAAUAAAUAAAUAAAACAUUAAAAUAGCAAACUUUUAACAUUCAGGGAACCCCUUCAUUGCCCAAAAAGGUUAUUUAGAAUUUAAAACUAUUCACUAAAUAGUUUUGGGGAACCAAAAAUGAUUCCUCUAUGGCAAUGCACAAAACACCCUUUUGAAACCUUUAUUUUUAAGUGUAUAUGUAGAUGCCAAGGUACUUAAGAUAUAAGAUCAAGUAAUUUAAAACACUCUAAACAUGUAUUCAAAUUAUUUUUGAAUAAAUUUAAAGAUAGACAAAAGCAGUUUGUCACUGAUUUACAAAUACUUCUUAAUUUAUACAGUAUUUAAAAUAAAAGAUUCACCUACUGUAAAUAACUUUCUACAAAGGGUAAGAUGAGGACAACAGAUGGUGGUGAUUUCUUGAAAACAGGUCUUAACAAUAACUAAUGGCUACCUGUGGACAGAACGGUUUAAAAAGGGCUGCACACUCUCUCUGCAUGUUUGGACGGGGUCUUGAGGAAGAGAACACACACAUAUGGUGUUGACCAUCACACUCUGCAGUGACAGACGGAGCAGACUCAUUACCGAACAAAACGACAGGCAGCGUGUCGGAGGGGAGGUUUCAGACAGAGGAGCAUGACUGCUGUACGGAGAGAAUACGCAGGAAAACAGAGAACGAUGGACAUCCCACCUGACCAGACUGGCUCUCCUGUACGGUUGACUCCACUGUGGUGGUCCUCUGCUCCGCCCUGGCGGGCUUCUGUCUCCUCUGCUCAGCUGUGUUGGUUCUCUGCUCCGCCCUGGUCAACUUCUGUCCCGUCUGCUCCGCCCUGGUGGGCUUCUAUCCCAUCUGCUCAGCGGUGGGGGCUCCUUGCUCCGCCCUGGUGGGCUCCAGUUCCGCCUGCUCCGCCCCGGUGGACUCCUGUUCCGUCGGCUCUGCCUUGGUCGCCAGCCAUUCCACUUCCACAUGGACCAGGCCCUCCAUCCCUCCCCCUGUUCCGCCUCCGCUCCACCGCCCUCCAAGACUGUAUAGAGCGUCUGGAAGCCGCUCCUUGUGGGGGGGCUAUGUCACGAUCUCUAGGUGGAGUGCCUGUGAGCUUCAGUAGAGGGCACUCCACUCAGGACUCAUUCAGAACUCCAUUUCCCAUCCUGCCUCACUCCUGGGACUGA